Molecule: ribosomal RNA, 253 nt
Filed under: uncultured bacterium
Lineage: Bacteria
Description: partial 16S ribosomal RNA
Rfam family: Bacterial small subunit ribosomal RNA
Source: RNAcentral
UACGUAGGGGGCAAGCGUUGUCCGGAAUCAUUGGGCGUAAAGAGCGCGUAGGCGGCCCAGUAAGUCCGCUCUGAAAGUCAGGGGCUCAACCCCUGAAUGCGGGUGGAUACUGCUGGGCUAGAGUCCGGAAGAGGCGAGUGGAAUUCCUGGUGUAGCGGUGAAAUGCGCAGAUAUCAGGAGGAACACUGAUGGCGAAGGCAGGUCUCUGGGCCACUACUGACGCUGAGAAGCGAAAGCAUGGGGAGCGAACAGG